CAACUGGCGGGCAAACGACACAGGCAGUCAUGCACUUAGGUGGGGCGAGCUGCACGCGGACUACUAUGAAAGC
RNAcentral lists this ribosomal RNA (73 nucleotides) under Scyphosphaera apsteinii. Its description in RNAcentral is "partial Eukaryotic small subunit ribosomal RNA". Lineage: Eukaryota; Haptophyta; Coccosphaerales; Pontosphaeraceae. The record is from RNAcentral.